This 2657-nucleotide ribosomal RNA is filed under the name Gracilaria cearensis. RNAcentral describes it as "large subunit ribosomal RNA". It matches the Rfam family "Bacterial large subunit ribosomal RNA". The record is from RNAcentral. Lineage: Eukaryota; Rhodophyta; Florideophyceae; Gracilariales; Gracilariaceae.
AGGUUAAAAUUUUGGUUAAGGGAUUUUAAAAUUUUUAUAACGGGCACUUAAUGAAAACCUUGGUGGAAAACUUUGGACGUGACGCUACGAAAAGUUAUAAGGAGGCAUUUGCUUGUGAUUUAUAAAUUUCCGUAUUUAGAGUAAACUCAUCAAAAUUUUUUGAAAGUAAUGUGAAUUGAAUCAUCUAAGUAACAUUAUUAAAAAAAUCAAUCGAGAGAUCGUAAGUAAUGGUGAAUGAAAGCGAUAUAAGAGCUUAGUAGAAAGUUUUAAUUAUAAUUUACUAAAAAAGGUCAAAGUCCUGUAUUAAUAGAAACUUUUUAUGAUAAAAUUUUUAAGUAGUAUGAACUUUAAUUUGUAUGAAUAAAGGAGAACCACCUUCUAAGCUUUAAAGGUUUUUCAACCAAUAGUGGACGAGUACCGUGAGGGAAAGGUAAAGAAAUUCGAAAAGAGUUAUUUUAAGUUAAGUGUUUUAAAAUUUUCGAAGUGUAAAACGACGAAGUGCCUUUUGCAUAAUGAAUCAGCAAGUUAAUAUAUAUUGCAAGCUCAAUUAGUAAUGAAUAGGCGUUAGAAGUAAUAUAUAUUAGACCUGAAACCAAGUGAUCUAGUUGUAAGUAAGUUGAAAACACUUUAAAAAGUUUUUGAAGACUGUACCCGUAUAUGUGGCAAAAUAUAGGGAUAACUUAUAGCUAGGAGUGAAAGGCUAAUCAAACUUGGAGAUAGCCGGUUUUUCACGAAAUGUAUUUUAGUACUACGUUAAUUGUUAUAAACCUUGAGUUAGAGUACAGAAUGAAUGAAGGGAUGUAAAAGUUUACUAAAUUUUUUUUAACUCCGAAUUAAAGUUUUAUAUAAUUAGCAGACAGUCUAUAAGCGAUAAGGUUUAUAGACAAAAGGAAAACAAUCCAGAUCGAAUACUAAGAUUUCUAAAUUAAGACUUAGGGAAAAAAUUAAAGAAAGUUCAAAUAACAAUUUCGUUAGGCUUAGAAGCAGCCUUUCAUUAGAGAAAGCGUUUCAGCUCGUUAUUUCUCUUUUUUUAAUUUAAAAUGUAUAGAAACUUUAAGUUUUAUAUCGAAGUAGCGGAUUAAUAUAAUUUGAUGGUAGUGAAACACUUUGUGAAAGUUUUUUAAUUGUAAAAUUAUUAAAAAUUAGCAAAGAUGCUAAUGCUGAUAUGAGUAGCGAAAAUUACGUUAAAAAAUCGUAAUCACUUAAUGUUUAAGGGUUUCAAUGUAAUUUUAAAUUCAUUGAGUUAGUCGGUCCUUAAGAGGUGAAUAAAAAUUGUACUCGAUAGGAAAUUAAUAAGUUAUGUUAUACUUUUUAUAUGUGUUAUUAAAACAUGAAAAAAAUAAUUUAAAAAAUUUUACAAUAUCAUUAAUUAGAAUAAGGCAUAAAAUUAAUUUACAUUAUUUUCGGGAAAAAAUUAUAAUAAAGGUAAACCGUACUUAAACCGACGCAGGUAAAUUUAUUGAGAAAAUUAUAAGUGAAUGAAAAAAUUGUAUUGAAGGAACUCGGCAAAUUAACUCUGUAUGUUCGCUAUAAAGAGAGCCCUUAAAAGGGGGUAGCAUAAAAUAAGAAGUAACGACUGGUUAACAAAACCACAGGACUCUGCAAAUUUGUGAAAAGCAGUAUAGAGUCUGAAGCCUGCCCGGUGCUUAAAAAUAAAAAAUUUAGGUUAAUGCUUACUUUUUAAAUCUAGGUAAACGGCGGUUCUAACUAUAAGAAUCCUUAGGUAGCGAAAUUCCUUGGCGGGUAAAUUCCGUCCUGCAUGAAUGGCGUAACGAUUGCUUCACUGUCUCCAAUACAAUUUCAGCGAAAUUACAUUAUCUAUGAAAAUGUGGAUUACUUGCAGUAAGACGGAAAGACCCUAGAUCCUUUACUUUGAUUUUAAAUUGUAAAAAAUUGUUUAAAUGUGAAGAAUAGGUGGGAAUAGCUAUUAAUGUUCUUGAGAUACCACUCGCUAAAUUUAAUUUUUUACUUAAUUUAUAAAUAACAUUAUAAAAGACCGUUUAAAAGAGAAAGUUUACUUGGGACGAGUACCUCCUAAAUGGUAACGGAGGUGUACGAAGGUAAGGGGCAAUUAUUCAUAAUGAAUAAUGAAGAAUAUAAUGGUAUAAACUUGCUUGACAAUAAGAUUUAUAGAUCGAAUUGCGACGAAAGUCCGUCAUAGUGACCCGAUAUUUAAGUGUGGAAUUAAUAUCGUUCAACAGAUAAAAGGAACUCUAGGGAUAACAGAUUCAUCGUGAUUGAGAGUUCAUAUUGACGUCACGGUUUGAUACCUCGAUGUCGACUCAUCUUAUCCUGAAAUUGAAGUAUAUUUCAAGGGUCUAGUUGUUCGCUAGUGAAAAAGGUACGUGAGUUGGGUUCAGAACGUCGUGAGACAGUUCGGUCCCUAUCUACUGUAAGAAAAGAAAAAUAAAAAGUGUAUUCUUAGUACGAGAGGACCAGAAUACUCUAACCUCUGGUUAAAUGAUUGUUGUGCCAAUAGCAUAGUCAAGUAGCUACGUUAGCUUUUAAUAAAUACUGAAUGAAUCAAGUGUAUUAAGUAUUCUUUUAUAUAUUUUUCGAGAAUAAUCUAAAAGAUUAUUAGAUUGAUCGGUUUAAAAAUGUUAUUUAGUAAUAAAUUUUAGUUUUUAUAAAUCCGAAUUAUUCAAAAAAAUUUUAAU